Molecule: small nucleolar RNA, 102 nt
Organism: Balaenoptera musculus (blue whale)
Lineage: Eukaryota; Metazoa; Chordata; Mammalia; Artiodactyla; Balaenopteridae
Source: Ensembl
CUUUUCAGCCAAUAAUGUUUCUAUUAAAAAAUGUCUGAACCUGUCUGAAGCAUCUUAGUUAUGCAACCCCUUUCAUUUUCAAGUUCCAUUUCUGUUAUGUUA